UUUAAUUGAAGAGUUUGAUCAUGGCUCAGAUUGAACGCUGGCGGCAGGCCUAACACAUGCAAGUCGAGCGGCAGCACAGAGGAACUUGUUCCUUGGGUGGCGAGCGGCGGACGGGUGAGUAAUGCCUGGGAAAUUGCCCGGUAGAGGGGAUAACCAUUGGAAACGAUGGCUAAUACCGCAUAACCUCGUAAGAGCAAAGCAGGGACCUUCGGGCCUUG
Molecule: ribosomal RNA, 218 nt
Filed under: Vibrio cholerae
Lineage: Bacteria; Pseudomonadati; Pseudomonadota; Gammaproteobacteria; Vibrionales; Vibrionaceae
Description: partial 16S ribosomal RNA
Rfam family: Bacterial small subunit ribosomal RNA
Source: RNAcentral